AAGCACUGACAUUCAACAAAAUCUCUGAGCGCACCAGGCUGCUUAAAAUCUCAUCCCUACCAUAUCACCCAGGUAAGUAUAUCCACCAUGCCACCCUUGGAGCACUGAGACUCCAUUCUCAGGUACGUUCUCUCAUUUCUGCUGUCGGCUGGGACAUUUUUUUCUUCCUGCGCAUGCCUUCCUUCCUUGAACUCACACAGGAGUUCUUCACCACAUUCUAUUUUGAUAAAACUGCCAUGCACAACAUACACACACCUGGCACUAUUGGAUUUAGGUUAUUGGGGAAGCGAUUUCGCUUAUCCCUGCAGGAAUUCGGCAUAGCCAUGGGCUGUGAAUGCCCUCAAUCCACCUGGG
This 354-nucleotide long non-coding RNA is filed under the name Manihot esculenta (cassava). RNAcentral describes it as "long non-coding RNA (MESC_LNC013069)". Lineage: Eukaryota; Viridiplantae; Streptophyta; Magnoliopsida; Malpighiales; Euphorbiaceae. The record is from RNAcentral.